Molecule: ribosomal RNA, 874 nt
Filed under: gut metagenome
Description: bacterial SSU rRNA
Rfam family: Bacterial small subunit ribosomal RNA
Source: RNAcentral
CUUGAGUGAAGUAGAGGUAAGCGGAAUUCCUAGUGUAGCGGUGAAAUGCGUAGAUAUUAGGAGGAACAUCAGUGGCGAAGGCGGCUUACUGGGCUUUAACUGACGCUGAGGCUCGAAAGCGUGGGGAGCAAACAGGAUUAGAUACCCUGGUAGUCCACGCCGUAAACGAUGAUUACUAGGUGUGGGGGGACUGACCCCUUCCGUGCCGCAGCAAACGCAAUAAGUAAUCCACCUGGGGAGUACGACCGCAAGGUUGAAACUCAAAGGAAUUGACGGGGGCCCGCACAAGCAGUGGAGUAUGUGGAUUAAUUCGAAGCAACGCGAAGAACCUUACCAGGUCUUGACAUCGUAUGCAUAGCUCAGAGAUGAGUGAAAUCUCUUCGGAGACAUAUAGACAGGUGGUGCAUGGUUGUCGUCAGCUCGUGUCGUGAGAUGUUGGGUUAAGUCCCGCAACGAGCGCAACCCUUACUGUUAGUUGCUACGCAAGAGCACUCUAGCAGGACUGCCGUUGACAAAACGGAGGAAGGUGGGGAUGACGUCAAAUCAUCAUGCCCCUUAUGACCUGGGCCUCACACGUACUACAAUGGCUGUCAACAGAGGGAAGCAAAGCCGCGAGGUGGAGCAAACCCCUAAAAGCAGUCUUAGUUCGGAUUGUAGGCUGCAACCCGCCUACAUGAAGUCGGAAUUGCUAGUAAUCGCAGAUCAGCAUGCUGCGGUGAAUACGUUCCCGGGCCUUGUACACACCGCCCGUCACGCCAUGGGAGUCGGUAACACCCGAAGCCUGUAGUCUAACCGCAAGGAGGACGCAGUCGAAGGUGGGAUUGAUGACUGGGGUGAAGUCGUAACAAGGUAGCCGUAUCGGAAGGUGCGGCUG